Molecule: ribosomal RNA, 204 nt
Filed under: uncultured bacterium
Lineage: Bacteria
Description: partial 16S ribosomal RNA
Rfam family: Bacterial small subunit ribosomal RNA
Source: RNAcentral
UACGAAGGGUGCAAGCGUUACUCGGAAUUACUGGGCGUAAAGCGUGCGUAGGUGGUGAGUUAAGUCUGAUGUGAAAUCCCCGGGCUCAACCUGGGAAUGGCAUUGGAUACUGGCUCGCUAGAGUGCGGUAGAGGGUGGUGGAAUUCCCGGUGUAGCAGUGAAAUGCGUAGAGAUCGGGAGGAACAUCUGUGGCGAAAGCGGGCU